UACAGAGACUGCAAGCGUUAUUCGGAUUCACUGGGCGUAAAGGGUGCGCAGGCGGCUAAGUGUGUCAGGUGUGAAAUCCCGAGGCUCAACCUCGGAACUGCGCCUGAAACUACUUGGCUAGAGUACUGGAGAGGGUAACGGAAUUCACGGUGUAGCAGUGAAAUGCGUAGAUAUCGUGAGGAACACCAGAGGCGAAGGCGGUUACCUGGACAGUUACUGACGCUCAGGCACGAAAGCGUGGGGAGCAAAAGGG
RNAcentral lists this ribosomal RNA (253 nucleotides) under uncultured bacterium. RNAcentral's name for it is "partial 16S ribosomal RNA". It matches the Rfam family "Bacterial small subunit ribosomal RNA", at positions 524 to 776 of the family's 1533-position model. The record is from RNAcentral.